UGUGAAUGCUGGAGUCGCAAAGGUGUUCUUUGGAACGGGCACAAAACUGAUGAUCCAAAGCAAAAAAGAAGAACCGCCUGCCUAUUACAAAUUUAAUGAGUCAUGUUUGGCAACCGACUUCACAAAAUAUGAUGAUGUAAAAUUCCAAGACGUUACACCCGUGCGAUAUGCAGAACGAAGUUACUACAGCAGCUUCACCUUUAAUGCUUCAGAAAACUGCCCGCAGAAAGACUGCAAUCAAGGAUCAUCCAGUCAAAAUGCUGAUUUUGAAACGGGUAAGUGUGCUUUUAUUUGCACAUUAAUAGUCUGCUGUGCAUUUCAUUUAAUUUGCGGUCCAUUACUACUAGUCUGUUACUGCCUGUUGUUUGAACCGAAACAUCCAGCACUGUCAAACAUUAACUGCACUCGCAUAGAUUUCAAAUUGUGAAACUACUAGCUUCGGGAAAAAAAAAAAAAAAACAUUAAACACAUUUAAAAAAAAUACUUGAAAGUGCUGGAUUAUACCACAAAAUCCAUGGUAAAACCAAUAGACAUACUAAUUGCAUUUUUAUUCUGCAGAUGAAAAAACCAACUACAUGUCAAUGGGCCUCUAUUGGCUGAGAAUUCUCUUUCUGAAGACUGUUGUGUUCAAUGUCCUGAUGACUUUCAAAGCAUGGAUGAGCUAACGUGAGUGAAAUGUUAUAUCUUGUGACAGUGGGUCUCAUUCACUAACUGCGUGUUAACACAUUUGUGUGUAAAAACUUUUUCAUACAGAAAUCAAGGUUUAUUAAUAAGUUGCAGGAUAACAUUUAGAACCAACUGAAACCACACAUACAAAAAAAAAACGAUUCCUAGCAGACUGUUUUACAGUCAUUUAACAAAAAUGGUUUGCAAAGUUGCAUAGUUUCUAAAAAUGGUCAAUCACGUGUAGUCUAGG
Long non-coding RNA from Sinocyclocheilus rhinocerous, 916 nucleotides. The record is from Ensembl. NCBI's taxonomy places the organism in Eukaryota, Metazoa, Chordata, Actinopteri, Cypriniformes, Cyprinidae.